RNAcentral lists this microRNA precursor (107 nucleotides) under Chlorocebus sabaeus (green monkey). Its description in RNAcentral is "miRNA (ENSCSAG00000026778.1)". Lineage: Eukaryota; Metazoa; Chordata; Mammalia; Primates; Cercopithecidae. The record is from RNAcentral.
CUAUUAGGUUGGUGCAAAAGUAAUUGCUGAUUUUGCCAUUAAUUGUGAUGUCAAAACUGCAAUUACUUUUGCACCAACCUAAUAAUUUACGCUCCCACCAACAGUGU